GGACGGGGCCCGCACAAGCGGCGGAGCAUGCGGAUUAAUUCGAUGCAACGCGAAGAACCUUACCAAGGCUUGACAUACACCGGUAACGCCCCAGAGAUGGGUGCCCCUUUGUGGUCGGUGUACAGGUGGUGCAUGGUUGUCGUCAGCUCGUGUCGUGAGAUGUUGGGUUAAGUCCCGCAACGAGCGCAACCCCUAUUGUUAGUUGCCAUCAUUCAGUUGGGCACUCUAGCGAGACUGCCGGUAAUAAACCGGAGGAAGUGGGAUGACGUCAAAUCAUCAUGCCCCUUAUGACCUGGGCUACACACGUGCUACAAUGGUUGGUACAACGAGUUGCGAGUCGGUGACGGCGAGCUAAUCUCUUAAAGCCAAUCUCAGUUCGGAUUGUAGGCUGCAACUCGCCUACAUGAAGUCGGAAUCGCUAGUAAUCGCGGAUCAGCACGCCGCGGUGAAUACGUUCCCGGGCCUU
Molecule: ribosomal RNA, 466 nt
Filed under: uncultured Streptococcus sp.
Lineage: Bacteria; Bacillati; Bacillota; Bacilli; Lactobacillales; Streptococcaceae
Description: bacterial SSU rRNA
Rfam family: Bacterial small subunit ribosomal RNA
Source: RNAcentral